GAUGAAGAACGUAGCAAAAUGCGAUAAGUAAUGUGAAUUGCAGAAUUCAGUGAAUCAUCGAAUCUUUGAACGCACAUUGCGCCCGCUGGUAUUCCGGCGGGCAUGCCUGUUCGAGCGUCAUUUCAACCCUCAAGCCCCCGGGUUUGGUGUUGGGGAUCGGCUCUGCCCUUCUGGGCGGUGCCGCCCCCGAAAUACAUUGGCGGUCUCGCUGCAGCCUCCAUUGCGUAGUAGCUAACACCUCGCAGCUGGAACGCGGCGCGGCCAUGCCGUAAAACCCCAACUUCUGAAUGUUGACCUCGGAUCAGGUAGGAAUACCCGCUGAACUUAAGCAUAUCAAUAAGCGGAGA
This 347-nucleotide unclassified non-coding RNA is filed under the name soil metagenome. Its description in RNAcentral is "partial contains 5.8S ribosomal RNA, internal transcribed spacer 2, and large subunit ribosomal RNA". The stretch from base 1 to 120 matches the Rfam family "5.8S ribosomal RNA", at positions 35 to 154 of the family's 154-position model. The record is from RNAcentral.